The submitters of this non-coding RNA (86 nucleotides) gave its source as unclassified sequences. The record is from Rfam.
UUUUGCACAAUGCAAAAGACUUAUGCGGAUAACCACCGCGUAGCCAGGAGAACUGGCAUUGGACUCCUAAAAGGAGAAACAAAAUG